Molecule: transfer RNA, 73 nt
Rfam family: tRNA
About the family: Transfer RNA (tRNA) molecules are approximately 80 nucleotides in length. Their secondary structure includes four short double-helical elements and three loops (D, anti-codon, and T loops).
GCCUCGGUAGCUCAGUAGGUAGAGCGCCCGGCUGUUAACCGGAAGGUCGCCGGUUCGAGUCCGGCCCGAGGCG